This 154-nucleotide ribosomal RNA is filed under the name Inonotus rickii. RNAcentral describes it as "partial 5.8S ribosomal RNA". It matches the Rfam family "5.8S ribosomal RNA". From Rfam's summary of the family: 5.8S ribosomal RNA (5.8S rRNA) is a component of the large subunit of the eukaryotic ribosome. It is transcribed by RNA polymerase I as part of the 45S precursor that also contains 18S and 28S rRNA. Functionally, it is thought that 5.8S rRNA may be involved in ribosome translocation. The record is from RNAcentral. Lineage: Eukaryota; Fungi; Basidiomycota; Agaricomycetes; Hymenochaetales; Hymenochaetaceae.
CAACUUUCAACANCGGAUCUCUUGGCUCUCGCAUCGAUGAAGAACGCAGCGAAAUGCGAUAAGUAAUGUNAAUUGCAGAAUUCAGUGAAUCAUCGAAUCUUUGAACGCACCUUGCGCCCCUUGGUAUUCCGAGGGGCAUGCCUGUUUGAGUGUC